This 237-nucleotide ribosomal RNA is filed under the name Salmonella enterica. RNAcentral describes it as "partial 23S ribosomal RNA". It matches the Rfam family "Bacterial large subunit ribosomal RNA", at positions 519 to 654 of the family's 2925-position model. Lineage: Bacteria; Pseudomonadati; Pseudomonadota; Gammaproteobacteria; Enterobacterales; Enterobacteriaceae. The record is from RNAcentral.
AAGAACCCCGGCGAGGGGAGUGAAAAAGAACCUGAAACCGUGUACGUACAAGCAGUGGGAGCCCCACCACUAAGCCAGUGGUGAACUCCACAUCCGCAUCCUUUGCUGAGGAUACGGUUAACGGAGCGAAAGCGACGUUCAACCGCAAAACAAGCAGAGGGGGCUUAGUGGUGGGGUGACUGCGUACCUUUUGUAUAAUGGGUCAGCGACUUAUAUUCUGUAGCAAGGUUAACCGUA